ACCCUAAGUAAUGGGACAUAUAACUUGCACGCAUUCUUAUUCAAAAAUUACAAUUUUUGAAAAUUAAAUGUACAAUUUUUUAUACGCAAUUCAAAACCUUUCCGAUUCUCGUUCACAGGCCGGUGUGACCGCGUGAACACACUUGAUUUUCGAGAAACUGAAGGGUGUGAACUGCCUGUAAUAAAUAUAUAUAUUUUUUUUUAAUUGCCCUCAUCAACGAGAAUGCGUGUAUGUUGGCACAACCUCUAUUAUUUAAAAUAAAAGUUAACGUGGAAAAUGUUAAUGCCCUGGAUGGCAUUUCACAUUGUGAUUUGUGAUGAUCUUCAAUCUGCCUAUGUACCAUGCAUAUCGCCACAACUUGUAUGGGAAAAAUGAGACGUUCAUUCACUGUUAGGGGAUUUUCUCACAAACUGUCGGAUUCCUCUUGAUUAAACUUUUUAACGCUUAA
Molecule: long non-coding RNA, 448 nt
Organism: Drosophila elegans
Lineage: Eukaryota; Metazoa; Arthropoda; Insecta; Diptera; Drosophilidae
Exons: 2
Source: RefSeq, a predicted model, not a curated record